Molecule: ribosomal RNA, 392 nt
Filed under: uncultured Gammaproteobacteria bacterium
Lineage: Bacteria; Pseudomonadati; Pseudomonadota; Gammaproteobacteria
Description: bacterial SSU rRNA
Rfam family: Bacterial small subunit ribosomal RNA
Source: RNAcentral
AAUGGGCGCAAGCCUGAUGCAGCCAUGCCGCGUGUGUGAUGAAGGCCUUAGGGUUGUAAAACACUUUCAUCGGUGAAGAUAAUGACGGUAGCCGAAGAAGAAGCCCCGGCUAACUCCGUGCCAGCAGCCGCGGUAAUACGGAGGGGGCAAGCGUUGUUCGGAAUUACUGGGCGUAAAGCGCACGUAGGCGGACUGAUCAGUUGGGGGUGAAAUCCCGAGGCUUAACCUCGGAACUGCCUUCAAUACUGUCAGUCUUGAGAUCGGAAGAGGUGAGUGGAAUUCCUAGUGUAGAGGUGAAAUUCGUAGAUAUUAGGAAGAACACCAGUGGCGAAGGCGGCUCACUGGUCCGAUACUGACGCUGAGGUGCGAAAGCGUAGGGAGCGAACAGGAUU